This 70-nucleotide transfer RNA is filed under the name uncultured Chloroflexota bacterium. RNAcentral's name for it is "uncultured Chloroflexi bacterium tRNA-Lys-CTT". The stretch from base 6 to 63 matches the Rfam family "tRNA", at positions 8 to 63 of the family's 71-position model. From Rfam's summary of the family: Transfer RNA (tRNA) molecules are approximately 80 nucleotides in length. Their secondary structure includes four short double-helical elements and three loops (D, anti-codon, and T loops). The record is from RNAcentral. Lineage: Bacteria; Bacillati; Chloroflexota.
GCCGCUAGCUCAAUUGGCAGAGCAGCUGACUCUUAAUCAGUAGGUUCCCGGUUCGAGUCCGGGGAGAGCA